RNAcentral lists this ribosomal RNA (405 nucleotides) under uncultured bacterium. RNAcentral describes it as "partial 16S ribosomal RNA". It matches the Rfam family "Bacterial small subunit ribosomal RNA", at positions 30 to 525 of the family's 1533-position model. The record is from RNAcentral.
AUUGAACGCUGGCGGCAGGCUUAACACAUGCAAGUCGAGCGAGCGGCGGACGUGUGAGUAAUGUCUGGGAAACUGCCUGAUGGAGGGGGUUAACUACUGGAAACGGUAGCUAAUACCGCAUACCAUCAGAUGUGCCCAGAUGGGAUUAGCUAGUAGGUGGGGUAAUGGCUCACCUACGCGACGAUCCCUAGCUGGUCUGAGAGGAUGACAAGCCACAAUGGAACUGGGACACGGUCCAGACUCCUACGGGAGGCAGCAGUGGGGAAGAUUGCACGAUGGGCGCAAGCCUGAGGCAGCCAUGCCGCGUGUAUGAAGAAGGCCUUCGGGUUGUAAAGUACUUUCAGUCGGGAGGCGUGACCGACAGAAGAAGCACCGGCUAACUCCGUGCCAGCAGCCGCGGUAAUC